GGGGCUGUGCGGAGCAAUGAUUGUGUUGGUGCGGAAGUUGUGGCUGUGGAGGUUGGCAGAAGGUGGGUGCUCAAAAACAUAGGCUGCUCCCCCCC
This is a non-coding RNA of Zootoca vivipara (common lizard), 95 nucleotides long. The record is from RefSeq and is a predicted model, not a curated record. NCBI's taxonomy places the organism in Eukaryota, Metazoa, Chordata, Lepidosauria, Squamata, Lacertidae.